GACGAACGCUGGCGGUGUGCUUAACACAUGCAAGUGGUGCGACGAACCAGAGCUUGCUCUGGGGCAAAGCCGCGAACGGGUGAGUAACACGUGGGUAAUCUACCCCGAUGACCGGGACAACCCGAGGAAACUCGGGCUAAUACCGGAUGUGGUGCGGAGACAUAAGUCUCUUCACUAAAGGUAGCUUCGGCUUCCGCAUUGGGAGGGGCCCGCGGCCCAUUAGCUUGUUGGUAGGGUCAAGGCCUACCAAGGCAACGAUGGGUAGCUGGUCUGAGAGGACGAUCAGCCACACUGGGACUGAGACACGGCCCAGACUCCUACGGGAGGCAGCAGUGGGGAAUCUUGCGCAAUGCGCGAAAGCGUGGCGCAGCAACACCGCGUGAGGGAAGAAGGCCUUAGGGUUGUAAACCUCUUUCAGAUGGGACGAAGGUUCUCCGGUGAAUAGCCGAGAGGAUUGACGGUACCGUCAGAAGAAGCUCCGGCUAACUACGUG
Molecule: ribosomal RNA, 493 nt
Filed under: uncultured bacterium
Lineage: Bacteria
Description: partial 16S ribosomal RNA
Rfam family: Bacterial small subunit ribosomal RNA
Source: RNAcentral